RNAcentral lists this ribosomal RNA (379 nucleotides) under uncultured bacterium. RNAcentral describes it as "bacterial SSU rRNA". It matches the Rfam family "Bacterial small subunit ribosomal RNA", at positions 362 to 758 of the family's 1533-position model. The record is from RNAcentral.
UCUUGCGCAAUGGGCGAAAGCCUGACGCAGCAACGCCGCGUGCGGGAUGAAGGCCUUCGGGCUGUAAACCGCUUUCAGCAGGAACGAAAAUGACGGUACCUGCAGAAGAAGGAGCGGCCAACUACGUGCCAGCAGCCGCGGUGACACGUAGGCUCCAAGCGUUGUCCGGAUUUAUUGGGCGUAAAGAGCUCGUAGGCGGUUUAGUAAGUCGGGUGUUAAAACUCUGGGCUCAACCCGGAGAGGCCAUCCGAUACUGCUGUGACUUGAGUUCAGGAGGGGAGCGGGGAAUUCCUAGUGUAGCGGUGAAAUGCGCAGAUAUUAGGAGGAACACCGGUGGCGAAGGCGCCGCUCUGGACUGAAACUGACGCUGAGAGCGAAA